This 682-nucleotide ribosomal RNA is filed under the name uncultured bacterium. RNAcentral describes it as "bacterial SSU rRNA". It matches the Rfam family "Bacterial small subunit ribosomal RNA", at positions 69 to 763 of the family's 1533-position model. The record is from RNAcentral.
UGAGAUUUCGGUCAAGUGAGGAAAUGGAAAGCGGCGGACGGGUGAGUAACGCGUAGGCAACCUGCCCCAUACAGAGGGAUAGCCUCGGGAAACCGGGAUUAAAACCUCAUAACACAUCUGGUUCACAUGGACAAGAUGUCAAAGAUUUAUCGGUAUGGGAUGGGCCUGCGUCUGAUUAGCUAGUUGGUGAGGUAACGGCUCACCAAGGCAACGAUCAGUAGCCGACCUGAGAGGGUAAUCGGCCACAUUGGAACUGAGACACGGUCCAAACUCCUACGGGAGGCAGCAGUGGGGAAUAUUGCACAAUGGGCGAAAGCCUGAUGCAGCAACGCCGCGUGAGGGAAGAAGGCCUUUGGGUCGUAAACCUCUGUCCUUGGGGAAGAAAAAAAUGACGGUACCCAUGGAGGAAGCCCCGGCUAACUACGUGCCAGCAGCCGCGGUAAUACGUAGGGGGCAAGCGUUAUCCGGAAUUAUUGGGCGUAAAGAGUGCGUAGGUGGCUAUUUAAGCGCGAGGUGAAAGGCUAUGGCUCAACCAUAGUAAGCCUUGCGAACUGGAUGACUUGAGUGCAGGAGAGGAAAGCGGAAUUCCUAGUGUAGCGGUGAAAUGCGUAGAUAUUAAGAGGAACACCAGUGGCGAAGGCGGCUUUCUGGACUGUAACUGACACUGAGGCACGAAAGCGUG